RNAcentral lists this ribosomal RNA (433 nucleotides) under uncultured bacterium. RNAcentral describes it as "partial 16S ribosomal RNA". It matches the Rfam family "Bacterial small subunit ribosomal RNA", at positions 29 to 507 of the family's 1533-position model. The record is from RNAcentral.
AACGAACGCUGGCGGCAUGCCUAACACAUGCAAGUCGAACGAGACCUUCGGGUCUAGUGGCGCACGGGUGCGUAACGCGUGGGAACCUGCCCUUAGGUUCGGAAUAACUCCCCGAAAGGGGUGCUAAUACCGGAUAAUGUCUUCGGACCAAAGAUUUAUCGCCUUUGGAUGGGCCCGCGUUGGAUUAGCUAGUUGGUAGGGUAAAAGCCUACCAAGGCGACGAUCCAUAGCUGGUCUGAGAGGAUGAUCAGCCACACUGGGACUGAGACACGGCCCAGACUCCUACAAGAGGCAGCAGUGGGGAAUAUUGGACAAUGGGCGAAAGCCUGAUCCAGCAAUGCCGCGUGAGUGAUGAAGGCCUUAGGGUUGUAAAGCUCUUUUACCCGGGAUGAUAAUGACAGUACCGGGAGAAUAAGCUCCGGCUAACUCCGUG